Molecule: long non-coding RNA, 6762 nt
Filed under: Gallus gallus (chicken)
Lineage: Eukaryota; Metazoa; Chordata; Aves; Galliformes; Phasianidae
Description: lncRNA (ENSGALG00010023039.1)
Source: RNAcentral
CUGAAUGCAAAUGCAGCACGGAUGUUAGCAACACAAAACUAGAUCAGUCUGGCAAGAGGAAAGCCAGCCCUGGACUUGCAUCAGCGGUGCUGGUCUGUGGGUUCCAAAUGCGGCAUCGCUGCAGAGCCGGUUAGACAAGGCUCCCUGACCUCCUCUACUUGGCAGGCUUUCCUCUGCAUUUUUGGCUGAGAGACAAACUAUACUUCCCCCCCCCCCCUCCCCAAGCCCUCCAACUGGUCCCAGUAUGUCCUGGUGCAGGUGUGCUGGCGGGCAAGGUGAGGAGAGAUUUCAUCACUCCAGCAUAUGGGCAACGCAGCCCUUCUUGAAGAGCUCCUCAUUCCCAUCCUGGGGCAUCUGAGUUCCUGAAGUGGGCACAGUGUUUACAGAGUCGGCAAUGGGAUGUGCAGCUUCGCAUCAUCUUAAGGCAGAUCAAUGCGUCGCCUGCCUUGCCCUGCUCUCACCAGUAGAGAUGUGGUAGCCCAUUGGUCUUCCUGCUAUUGCUGUGAUAAGAAGCCCCCAAAAUGUUUCUGUUGCAGCCAUCAUGUCAAUGCAGGCCUUGAUGCAAUUGAGCACUGAAGAUACUUGGCCCUCCUUGUAACACAGCUUUACUUUGGUCCUGCGUGGUUUAAGGCACCAGACUCUCACUGGAGUUUACCUAAGGACUUGGGAUCUCACCAUUUUUAGUGGUAUAUGGAUACUUCAAACAAAGCAUCGGAGAAUUUUUAGUGUUCUUACUUAAAGAAAACCUGAGGUCAGAAACCGAGCUUUCUCAGGAAAUCUGUGGUCAGAGCAGGAAAGAGGACCCAGGUGUCCCGAGCUCUUAACGUUCAGCCUUUCCUCUCCUGCCCCCAAGCUGCCUGAGAGCAUGUUUGGAAGGAUGCCUGCUUGCUCAGAUACGGUGCAGACCUUCCUUCUUCUCUCGUCACAGCUGUGAACUUCUAGGAGGUCCUUAUAUGCUCAGCCGGAACACGUCUGAGUACGUAGACGAAACGUCAGGACCAGGACUGAGUGUGUGGCACUGAGAAGAGAAAUCCCAUCUGUGCUGUGGAGCAGGAGCUUGGUUUUGGUUGUGAUUUCUCCCUACCAGCUGGUCUGAGUAAUUACAUAAUGUAUCGAGCCAAGACAUCCUGCUUUAUGCAACAAGUAAAUUCAUUUACAACCAUCUUUUAAAGCAAAGAAGAUAUACGCUGCAUGUCCUCCUUUAACUGCACUACUUUUAAGAGUGCAAUCAACAAGCUAUUCAUUAGCUGGCUAGCAUAACAGUCUCAGAGGAGGCUGUGCCUGUUUUUCUUCUGCCCAGGACCUGCUCUGGUGUCAGGAGGUGAUGCAGUAGGUGCCUGCUGUGGCACAUGACCUUUCCCAAGGUGUGAACAGAGCUUUCUUGGUUGCCUCACACUCCUUACAGGAACCGCGGGGUGAGUGCCUGGGAACAGAUCGCUUUCCUGGUUGCAUCUGUGCUGUUUCUCUCCAUGUGGACUGGGAAAUGUGUAUGGGGCAGGCUCCGUACAGGGGAAUAGCAGGGCAUUGCUGUAGGUACUAACAUUGGCAAUAGGGAAAGCUGGCACUGUAUCACUGCUCUCUUCUUGGAUCCAAGACAAGGUCUCACUGUAAGGUACAAAGGAAUAAGGCCAACCACAGCCACUGUCAGCUCUGCUUCCCCACAGACGUGGUAUGUUAUGAAGACAAAAGCCCGGGAAGCAAGAACUCCACCAGAGAGGGAACAGGUGGAGGAAACGUGAAAUACAUCCCAGCAAAUCCAUUAUGGACAGUAUUAGCACUUCAUCUGCAACGCAUGACAUCGUAUCACUGUUCCAGCUGCCGAAUCUUUGAAGUGCCUUGUGAAACUUGUUCAGAACUCUGCAAGAGGAUUUAGCUGCUGAAGCUCCCCGACCUGUUUCAGCAGGGGGCUGUGGGCAGUUGGCAGUUAUUGGCAGGACGAGGCUGAGGAGCUAAUGCUGGUGCUAGCAGGAAGGAGGCAGGCUGACAUCGUGGGUUAGGACUCCUAGGAAGUAUUAGUAAAGAAUAGCCCAUUUGUCCUUUUCCCUGCAAAACAAAAAGCAAGCAUGCAAAUCAACAUGCACACACACCUGUGGGUGAUUGACGUGUUGGGCUGUUAUUGCCUUAUCCCUUGCACCUGCUUGCAUAGCUGUGACACCCAGAUUUGACUCUUGGGGAUCUCACGUGCUGUGAAGACACAUCUUACGUUGGGUGGUAUCCUCGAAAAUCCCUGUGCUAAGCAGAGCAAGUGCAAAGGUAAUAAGCGGGUGGGGGUGGAAAUGAAGAGGUCAACAAGAAGGGAAGGGAAAAGCUUCUGGAUGCCAUUCAGGAUAAGAUGGCUGGAUAGAGAUGGAAUGGGAAUAUUACAGAGGAACAAGCCAGAUCUAGUACAAGUAGAAGCCUGGUUCUUCUGGGUGGCCAGGUGGGGAUCUAGGUCUGCAGCACAACAGAGAGAGCGGCCAAGUCAAUCUCAGCUUCAACAAGCGUACUGCAAUACCUGAAAGAAAACAUUUAAGAAAAUGUCUACCAUCUAAAUGAAAGCUUGUCUGGGCUAGUUUAAUCUGUAUGGCGGAUGUUUUUUAUGUAUCAUGUGACUUGAUGCUACAGCACUCACUCCGCGUGGUUAUCGCCAGAGCAAUGGCAGCAGCGCGUGCCACAUUUUCUGCCUUUAGAAACACAAAGCCUUGUCUCACAGAAGCUCAGACAUGCCCUGGCUGAUGGGAGCCGCAUCCUUCUGCGUGAUGGUUUAAAAAUAACAUGUGCGCACGCAGAGCAACAAGACAUGCCUUCCCUGUUCCUGCGGCUUCCUGAGAACACAGCCGGAUGUUUUCAGGCCGUGCUAGGGAUGGCCCAGGGAGAGGGGCCAUAGAAGAGUUAGCAGGGAUGGGUCUGAUCACAGGACGUGGAUGGAGAAAUGGCUAACAGAGGAUAACAGAUCUGACUGCAGAUAGCAGUAUCAUAUUAUUGCUCUAUAUACGAUGGUCUGCUGCAGUUUUCUGUGUUGUUGUGCCAGUGCUGAGUGAUUAUAUUGCCAUACACUAAAAAAAGAUGGCAAGAGGCUAUGCUGGUUUGCAACCUGACUCAAUGUUUUUAGAGCCUGACUAAAAGCAGAAGAAAGAAAAAAGAUGGUUGCCUGCAUCUGGAUCAUACAUUGCUUGGGUUACAGCAAACAGGGCUCUUUUGUACUAGAGGAUGCUUGGGGCAGUCUGAGAUUCCAGACAUUGGUGACUUGUCCUUCACGAGCAUCUGUAUCAGAGACCUCAUCUAAUGGUCAUCAUAGACAAACAUUCUCAAUACUCAGUGAGUUAUGCGGUUACACAGAAUUUGUUUCUUAACAAAAACUGCUUUGAGAGGUGCUGUGCUGUAGCGUGUUCCUUCUUGCUUUGUGGGCCUGGUGCAAAUCAUGACCUGCCAUGCUCCCUCCUUGGGACUGUCUUCCACAAUUUGCCCGACUUGAGAGCAAAGAAGGAUGAAGAAGCAUUUCUCCUGGCUCAGCUACACAACUUCUUCUGUAUAUUCAAGUUGGGUAUUAGGAAUGAUUUCUUCUCAGAAAAAGUGGUGAGGCACUGGCACAGACUGCCCAGGGAUGUGGUGGAGUCACCAUCUCUGUGGAAUGAAAAAUCCACCCUGAGCUCUUAUAUACAGAUACUAUCUUUGCUUCAGGAAAUAUCUGGUAUUUCUGGGGAAGUGUGACUACAGGCUUUCCUGGGGUUUAUAUCUUCCUUAGGCAUCUGCUACUGGCUGCUCUCAGAAGGCAGGGUGCCCAGCUAUGGCCCUUGGUCUGUUUUUAAGUGAGACCAGACAGGUUGGCUGCCAUUGUCAGCCUGUUCCUGACAGGUACAACACCCUGCUUCAAAAAUCAUCAUCACCCCCAAGCUCAUUCGCAGUUCCCUGACUGGAUGGAAGCUUUCAAUGCAGAAUUCUGCUCGGUGGUGGUGAGGAAGCCCUGUCCGUGCCAGAAACCUUCAUGUUGGAGAGCGAUGGUUGUUUCUUGGGAAAGGCUUGCAGAGCCACAGGGUGCACUAUUUCUGUGUGGUCCUGAUUCAGCUAACCUGGCCCAUGAUACGUGAAGGAAGCAGUAUACUGCUGUGUUGCUUUCCAUAUGUUAACACAGUUCUGGUGCCUUUUGGUAAUACAAGAAAAAGGCCCCGCCUGUUUUGCUAAGCACUGCACAAAGGUUUCCAGGGCAGUGCCUGGAAAUCUGUUAGAUUCCAGUAAAACCUGUAGGUUGCUCAAAAUGGUGACUUGUUGAUUGUAUCAUCCGUGCUCAAUGUUACCAACACAGAUUUCAAAAUGAGACUGGUGAAGGAAUUCAGAGAACUUCAAAUUGGUCAUCAGACUGUUUUGGCCUUACAUUUGCACUGUGUACAGGGAUGGGAGCAGAUGCAAGAGGAAGCAAUACGCUGGAUUUUGAUGGUUCUGUACAUCAGACAUGUCCAAGAUGGGCAGCGUGUAUCUCAGCUGCUGGUGUCCAUGUCUGGCUCUCAGAAGUGCUGCUGGGUCAAGCUCCAGCCUGUGACCACCCUUCAGAGCCUGCCCAAAAAAUAACCAAGUGCUUUGGGAACGUUUGCAGUGAAGCUUCAUGCUGAAUGGGAAAUAUUAUUUCUUCUCUGUCCCAUGAUAUGUGUAUCAGAGGAGAGUCAGCCAGGCAGGAGCCAUAAAUGUGUAAGCAAUAUUUUUUUCAUUACAAACACUUUUCCCCAGGGAGCAAAAUUAAGGCCCUUGUUUGAAAGAACUGAGACCCUUCCUGAUGAUAUUUGGUUUUGAAUUGUGCUCCAGCCUCUCAAAGCCGCUGCUCAGGACUCUUUACUCCUUACUGGUUCUAUUUUUUUUUCCUUUUCCUGGAGCAGCAAUAGGACAAUGACUCAUUUCAUAGGUAAUCUAGAAAUAACUUCCCUUUUACAAGAAGACAAAUUGCAAGCAAGGAAGACACAAUCUCUUGGGAAGCUGUGUGCCCUUUGGUAUAAAUCCAAUCUCUCCUGGGGCCAUCACAGCUUUGGAUUUGGAGGGGACAGUUUGGUGCAUACAGACACAAACUCAGCGCCGCUAACACAUCCCAACAGCUCCAUCGUUUCCCCUGAGCUUCUGCGGCCACUGUUCUUCACAGGCUCUCAAGACUGAGUUUACACCCUGGUGUGCCUCACCAGUCCCUUGUGUUUGGGACUCCUGAAACAUGGGCUUGGAGAUGAAGGGGGCUGCUCUGCUGCCAAGAGCAGCUCCCAUUGCUGCCCGAGGGGCAGCAGAACUGACAGACCACCACUGGUUUUAGAGCAGCUGCUAGAUAAGGUCCUGCACACGUCAUUCUACCACUCACAAAGCUGUCAAUAUAGCGUGUGUGUGAGGGGCAUUAAGACAGGUGACAUGAUAACCCAUGAACCAAGGCCAGAUUCUGCUGUGUGUGACGUCUGCUGACAGCCUUAACUGGCAGCGAAGCUUCAGGCCAAGUCAUUUAUAUCUGAUUGUCUGGAAAGGUAGAAAAGGUAAAAUUUACUUUGUUUACAGUUUACAGAUGCCCAUCGUCUGCUCAUUGACUCUCAGCAUCCCAAACGCCUCAGAGCUGUUUGUGAGUGCCCACGGAUUGAUGGCUGAAUGACUGAACACGCAGCACCACGAGGGCUGACAGUGCCCCACUCUUGGCACUGACCAACGCAGCUGUACCCAGCUCCAGUGAGUCACCUCACUGUCACCUUGAGGUGGGACAGGCCAUCUUCUGAGGUAUCCUAGCUUAGAAGCUUGGAUAACUGGAGAAGACCAGCUCCUGAAUACCAGUCGGGCAAUGGCAGGAGAUGACUCCCACUCUCAUGAUGGAGAAGACAACUCCCACUCUCUCUGGGAACUUAAAAUGUCCGUAUUGAUUUCUUAACCUGAAAUGUGCUUUGGAAACCCUGUCUGGAGAGCCUGCUUUGUCUCCCUGCACCUAAAUACUUUUGAAGCGUGGUCAGAGAUGCUCCCAACAUGUGCUCUGGAUUCUCUGGUGAGAGACACAGGAGGAAGUUUUGAGGUGGAAGAGCAGCAUCGGUGUCAAUUUGUUUGGAAGGAUUUUUGUGGACUGGACUUCUGUGGCUUUGCUUGCUUCCUGUUACUCUUAUGUUAUCAGCAUGAAAAUAUUAAAUUAGGUGACCAAUGUAGCCAGUAAGGCUGGCCACAGCUAUUAUAUAACGUCUGGUUGCUGUAAACAUCUCCAUGAUCGUUUCUUUGAUUGCAGUGCAAACAUAUCCUGUGCACAAUAUGUGGGUUACCAGGUAGAGUUAUGUCAUGACUCAGGAUGAGCCAAUAUCAUAAGCAAACGUUAAUGAAGGGUGGGAUUUUCAUUAGUUUCCCCGUAUUGACCUAUUUCACUUCCUAUCCAAGGCAGCAGCUGAAAAGAGCUGGCCUAAAUGGAUCAGUGUUCUGCAGCCCAAAAUCGUGAUGCAGGGCUGGAGGGAGCCCCGUUCUACCCAGGGUGGCUGUUCUCAUCUGACAUUAUGACAAAUAGUCCUAGGCUCCUUCUGUAUUAAAAAUAAAAGCCUUGAACUUGCAUAUUUCCUUAUGGAAAAAAAAAAAAAUAGCUAUCUUGGGAUCCUGCUUAUACAACUGGAACAACUUUUGUUCUCCACCCCACCUAAAGACAAGCAAAAGGCUUUUAUGUUCUCUAGGUUAUUAAUGGACGGGGCUUCCUCUGCUGAGAGGAUGUUUGGAGCACUGCUAAAAUCUCUGCUCAGGUCCCUUGAAUCAGGACAAGUGAUCUUACAUCACCUUCCUGAGCUAAUUGCCAGCCUCUAAAAG